GACGAACCGUCCGAACGUUAUUCGGAAUCACUGGGCUUAAAGGGUGCGUAGGCGGCGCGGAAAGUUGGGUGUGAAAUCCCUCGGCUUAACCGAGGAACGGCGCCCAAAACUACCGUGCUCGAGGGAGAUAGAGGUGAGCGGAACUUAGGGUGGAGCGGUGAAAUGCGUUGAUAUCCUAAGGAACACCGGUGGCGAAAGCGGCUCACUGGAUCUCUGCUGACGCUGAUGCACGAAAGCCAGGGGAGCAAACGGG
RNAcentral lists this ribosomal RNA (253 nucleotides) under uncultured bacterium. RNAcentral's name for it is "partial 16S ribosomal RNA". It matches the Rfam family "Bacterial small subunit ribosomal RNA", at positions 524 to 776 of the family's 1533-position model. The record is from RNAcentral.